AACGAACGCUGGCGGCAGGCUUAACACAUGCAAGUCGAACGCCUGUAGCAAUACAGGAGUGGCAGACGGGUGAGUAACACGUGGGAACGUGCCCAAAGGUACGGAACAACUCCGGGAAACUGGAGCUAAUACCGUAUGCGCCCGAAAGGGGAAAGAGUUAUCGCCUUUGGAUCGGCCCGCGUCUGAUUAGCUAGUUGGUGGGGUAAUGGCCUACCAAGGCGACGAUCAGUAGCUGGUCUGAGAGGAUGGCCAGCCACACUGGGACUGAGACACGGCCCAGACUCCUACGGGAGGCAGCAGUGGGGAAUAUUGGACAAUGGGCGCAAGCCUGAUCCAGCCAUGCCGCGUGAGUGAUGAAGGCCUUAGGGUUGUAAAGCUCUUUCGCCAGGGACGAUAAUGACGGUACCUGGAUAAGAAGCCCCGGCUAACUUCGUGCCAGCCGCCGCAGUAA
Molecule: ribosomal RNA, 451 nt
Filed under: uncultured bacterium
Lineage: Bacteria
Description: partial 16S ribosomal RNA
Rfam family: Bacterial small subunit ribosomal RNA
Source: RNAcentral